GGGCCUGUAGCUCAGUUGGUUAGAGCAGGGGACUCAUAAUCCCUUGGUCCUAGGUUCGAAUCCUAGCGGGCCCACCA
This 77-nucleotide transfer RNA is filed under the name Gammaproteobacteria bacterium. RNAcentral's name for it is "tRNA-Ile". It matches the Rfam family "tRNA". Rfam says of the family: Transfer RNA (tRNA) molecules are approximately 80 nucleotides in length. Their secondary structure includes four short double-helical elements and three loops (D, anti-codon, and T loops). Lineage: Bacteria; Pseudomonadati; Pseudomonadota; Gammaproteobacteria. The record is from RNAcentral.